This 459-nucleotide ribosomal RNA is filed under the name uncultured bacterium. RNAcentral describes it as "partial 16S ribosomal RNA". It matches the Rfam family "Bacterial small subunit ribosomal RNA", at positions 338 to 795 of the family's 1533-position model. The record is from RNAcentral.
CCUACGUGAGUCAGCAGUGAGGAAUAUUGGUCAAUGGCCGGAAGGCUGAACCAGCCAAGCCGCGUGAAGGACGAAGGUGCCAAGCAUUGUAAACUUCUUUUGUCAAGGGACAAAAUCAGGCUCGAGAGCCUGACCGAGGGUACUUGAAGAAAAAGCAUCGGCUAACUCCGUGCCAGCAGCCGCGGUAAUACGGAGGAUGCGAGCGUUAUCCGGAUUUAUUGGGUUUAAAGGGUGCGUAGGCGUGCUGUUAAGUCAGCGGUAAAAGCCCGGGGCUCAACCCCGGCGAGCCGUUGAAACUGGCUGUAUUGAGAUGUCGAGAGGUAUGCGGAAUGCGCAGUGUAGCGGUGAAAUGCGUAGAUAUUGCGCAGAACUCCGAUUGCGAAGGCAGCAUACCGGCGGCGAUCUGACGCUGAGGCACGAAAGCGUGGGUAUCGAACAGGAUUAGAUACCCCUGUAGUC